This 319-nucleotide ribosomal RNA is filed under the name Alexandrium tamarense. RNAcentral describes it as "partial Bacterial large subunit ribosomal RNA". It matches the Rfam family "Bacterial large subunit ribosomal RNA", at positions 746 to 1062 of the family's 2925-position model. The record is from RNAcentral. Lineage: Eukaryota; Dinophyceae; Gonyaulacales; Pyrocystaceae.
UGAAGGCAGGGUAACACCUGCUGGAGGUCCGAACCGACUACUGUUGCAAAAGUAGCGGAUGAGCUGUGGGUAGGGGCGAAAGGCUAAACAAAUCCGGAAAUAGCUGGUUCUCCCCGAAAACUAUUUAGGUAGUGCCUCGCGUAUUGCUCCAGGGGGUAGAGCACUGUAAUGGUUGGGGGGGUCAUUGCGACUUACCCCGCCAUAGCAAACUCCGAAUACCUGGAAGUAUUAGCGCGGGAGACAGAGCACUGGGUGCUAACGUCCAGACUCAAGAGGGAAACAACCCAGACCGCCAGCUAAGGUCCCAAAUUAUAGCUAA